This 237-nucleotide ribosomal RNA is filed under the name Stutzerimonas stutzeri. RNAcentral describes it as "Pseudomonas stutzeri partial 16S ribosomal RNA". It matches the Rfam family "Bacterial small subunit ribosomal RNA", at positions 777 to 1013 of the family's 1533-position model. Lineage: Bacteria; Pseudomonadati; Pseudomonadota; Gammaproteobacteria; Pseudomonadales; Pseudomonadaceae. The record is from RNAcentral.
AUUAGAUACCCUGGUGGUUCACGCCGUAAACGAUGUUGAUUAGCCGUUGGGAUCCUUGAGAUCUUAGUGGCGCAGCUAACGCAUUAAGUCGACCGCCUGGGGAGUACGGCCGCAAGGUUAAAACUCAAAUGAAUUGACGGGGGCCCGCACAAGCGGUGGAGCAUGUGGUUUAAUUCGAAGCAACGCGAAGAACCUUACCAGGCCUUGACAUGCAGAGAACUUUCCAGAGAUGGAUUG